RNAcentral lists this ribosomal RNA (322 nucleotides) under uncultured eukaryote. Its description in RNAcentral is "partial 18S ribosomal RNA". It matches the Rfam family "Eukaryotic small subunit ribosomal RNA", at positions 1470 to 1796 of the family's 1831-position model. The record is from RNAcentral.
CCCUUAGAUGUUCUGGGCCGCACACGCGCUACACUGAAGGAGGCAGCGUGUACUCCUGGAUCGAAAGAUUUGGGUAACCCGCGAAUCUCCUUCGUGCUAGGGAUUGAGGUUUGCAAUUAUCCUUCAUGAACGAGGAAUUCCCAGUAAGUGCAAGUCAUAAGCUUGCGCUGACUACGUCCCUGCCCUUUGUACACACCGCCCGUCGCUACUACCGAUUGAGUGAUCCGGUGAGGCCUUUGGACCGAGACUGUGUUGGGGCAACCCGCGCUGUUUUGGAAAAUUGGUCAAACCUUAUCAUCUAGAGGAAGAAGAAGUCGUAACA